Molecule: ribosomal RNA, 594 nt
Filed under: Escherichia coli
Lineage: Bacteria; Pseudomonadati; Pseudomonadota; Gammaproteobacteria; Enterobacterales; Enterobacteriaceae
Description: partial 23S ribosomal RNA
Rfam family: Bacterial large subunit ribosomal RNA
Source: RNAcentral
GUGUCUGGUGGGUAGUUUGACUGGGGCGGUCUCCUCCUAAAGAGUAACGGAGGAGCACGAAGGUUGGCUAAUCCUGGUCGGACAUCAGGAGGUUAGUGCAAUGGCAUAAGCCAGCUUGACUGCGAGCGUGACGGCGCGAGCAGGUGCGAAAGCAGGUCAUAGUGAUCCGGUGGUUCUGAAUGGAAGGGCCAUCGCUCAACGGAUAAAAGGUACUCCGGGGAUAACAGGCUGAUACCGCCCAAGAGUUCAUAUCGACGGCGGUGUUUGGCACCUCGAUGUCGGCUCAUCACAUCCUGGGGCUGAAGUAGGUCCCAAGGGUAUGGCUGUUCGCCAUUUAAAGUGGUACGCGAGCUGGGUUUAGAACGUCGUGAGACAGUUCGGUCCCUAUCUGCCGUGGGCGCUGGAGAACUGAGGGGGGCUGCUCCUAGUACGAGAGGACCGGAGUGGACGCAUCACUGGUGUUCGGGUUGUCAUGCCAAUGGCACUGCCCGGUAGCUAAAUGCGGAAGAGAUAAGUGCUGAAAGCAUCUAAGCACGAAACUUGCCCCGAGAUGAGUUCUCCCUGACUCCUUGAGAGUCCUGAAGGAACGUUGAA